GGAGCUCCUUUAAGCGGUGCGCUUAAUCCCCUCUCCUCGCGCCUCAGGAUGCAAAGAGGUACGUGGGGAGUUUCUUGCCUUUUGGGAAGUCUGAGGUCUUCUGCCAGCAUUCAGCACUGCCAAACGCAG
Long non-coding RNA from Physeter macrocephalus (sperm whale), 129 nucleotides. RefSeq lists it as uncharacterized. The transcript is spliced from 3 exons. NCBI's taxonomy places the organism in Eukaryota, Metazoa, Chordata, Mammalia, Artiodactyla, Physeteridae. The record is from RefSeq and is a predicted model, not a curated record.